AAGAGCCAUUGAUUAGACCAAAUUUUGGUAUUCAAUUGUACAAGGAUCUACUUCGAACGUGUAUAAAUUUUGGUAUAUAUGGAAUGUCGUGUAUAAAUUUUGGUAUAUAUGGAAUGUUGAAUCUCAAUACCAACCAAAUGAUAGAUAAUUGUGUUAGUUUUCUAGAGAUACCAAAUUUGCCUUAAUUCGAUACCCGAGCAAAAAAGUUAUGACUAUUUUCAUGAAAAACAGUAAGG
This 236-nucleotide long non-coding RNA is filed under the name Capsicum annuum. RNAcentral describes it as "long non-coding RNA (CANN_LNC007819)". Lineage: Eukaryota; Viridiplantae; Streptophyta; Magnoliopsida; Solanales; Solanaceae. The record is from RNAcentral.